UGUUACUUUUUAUUGGUAAUGCCUCAUGU
This 29-nucleotide small RNA is filed under the name Bombyx mori (domestic silkworm). RNAcentral's name for it is "ovarian small RNA-9149". The record is from RNAcentral. Lineage: Eukaryota; Metazoa; Arthropoda; Insecta; Lepidoptera; Bombycidae.